GUGCUUGCUUUGGCAGCACGUAUACUAAAAUUGGAACGAUACAGAGAAGAUUAGGAUGGCCCCUGCGCGAGGAUGACACACAAAUUCAUGACGUGUUCCCUAUUUUU
Otolemur garnettii (small-eared galago) is the source of this 107-nucleotide small nuclear RNA. The record is from Ensembl. NCBI's taxonomy places the organism in Eukaryota, Metazoa, Chordata, Mammalia, Primates, Galagidae.